This 333-nucleotide unclassified non-coding RNA is filed under the name Hevea brasiliensis (rubber tree). The record is from RNAcentral. Lineage: Eukaryota; Viridiplantae; Streptophyta; Magnoliopsida; Malpighiales; Euphorbiaceae.
GCCUGAUGCAGUUCAUCUUCUUGCCGUCAAGGAGACUUGCAAGGAGCUGGGGAAUGGUUCAACCACUAUUGGAUUUGCUUUUGUCGAUUGUGCUGCUCUGAAAGUUUGGGUUGGUUCCGUCGAGGAUGAUGCAUCUUGUGCAGCUUUGGAAGCUUUGCUGAUGCAAGUGUCACCGAAGGAAGUUAUAUUCAAUGCAAGGGGUUUGUCAAAGGAUGCCCAGAAAGCUCUGAAAAAGUAUUCAUCAACAGGUCCUGCAGCACCACUUCUAUCUCCAGUUCAGCCAGGUGCAGAUUUUGUUGAUCCUGCAGAAGUGAAAAAUUUCCUCGACUUGAA